RNAcentral lists this ribosomal RNA (611 nucleotides) under uncultured archaeon. RNAcentral's name for it is "bacterial SSU rRNA". It matches the Rfam family "Archaeal small subunit ribosomal RNA", at positions 1 to 607 of the family's 1478-position model. The record is from RNAcentral.
CUCAGUUGAUCCCGCCGGAACUGACUGCUAUCGGAUUGGUACUAAGCCAUGCGAGUCGUUGUACAAUACAAUGCGAACUGCUCAGUAACACGUAGUUAACCUAACCUAUGGAUGGGGAUAACCUCGGGAAACUGAGAAUAAUACCCAAUAGAUCACAGUGCCUGGAAUGGCCUGUGAUUGAAAUGAUUUAUCGCUGUAGGAUGGGACUGCGGCCUAUCAGCUUGUUGGUGAGGUAAUGGCCCACCAAGGCUAUAACAGGUACGGGCUCUGAGAGGAGGGGCCCGGAGAUGGGUACUGAGACACGGACCCAGGCCCUAUGGGGCGCAGCAGGCGAGGAACCUUUGCAAUGUGCGAAAGCACGACAAGGUUAAUCCGAGUGUCUCCUGCCCUUUAAAAAAGGAAGUCCUUUUGUUCCAGUUUGUAGAAAUCCACUGGUGAAUAAGGGGUGGGCAAGUUCUGGUGUCAGCCGCCGCGGUAAAACCAGCACCUCGAGUGGUCAGGAGGUUUAUUGGGCCUAAAGCAUCCGUAGCCGGUUGCAUAAGUUUCCGGUUAAAUCUAUGCGCUUAACGUAUAGGCCCGCGAAAAUCCUGUGCCGCUAGGGAGUGGGAGAG